UACGUAGGGUGCAAGCGUUGUCCGGAAUUAUUGGGCGUAAAGAGCUCGUAGGCGGUUUGUCGCGUCUGCUGUGAAAACUCGGGGCUUAACCCCGGGCCUGCAGUGGGUACGGGCAGACUAGAGUGCGGUAGGGGAGACUGGAAUUCCUGGUGUAGCGGUGGAAUGCGCAGAUAUCAGGAGGAACACCGAUGGCGAAGGCAGAUCGCUGGGCCGUAACUGACGCUGAGGAGCGAAAGCGUGGGGAGCGAACAGG
This 253-nucleotide ribosomal RNA is filed under the name uncultured bacterium. Its description in RNAcentral is "partial 16S ribosomal RNA". It matches the Rfam family "Bacterial small subunit ribosomal RNA", at positions 524 to 776 of the family's 1533-position model. The record is from RNAcentral.